GCCCGGCUGGCGCAAUGGUAGCGCGCAAGACUUCUACCCUGAUAUCUUGAGGCUGUGGGUUCGAGCCCCACGUUGGGCU
RNAcentral lists this transfer RNA (79 nucleotides) under Aureobasidium subglaciale EXF-2481. It matches the Rfam family "tRNA". From Rfam's summary of the family: Transfer RNA (tRNA) molecules are approximately 80 nucleotides in length. Their secondary structure includes four short double-helical elements and three loops (D, anti-codon, and T loops). Lineage: Eukaryota; Fungi; Ascomycota; Dothideomycetes; Dothideales; Saccotheciaceae. The record is from Rfam by way of RNAcentral.